GCGCCUAUAGUAAAAUGGAUAUUAUAAGGGACUCCGAAGCCCUAGUUGCAGGUUCGAUUCCUGCUAGGCGCGCCA
Molecule: transfer RNA, 75 nt
Filed under: Acholeplasmataceae bacterium
Lineage: Bacteria; Bacillati; Mycoplasmatota; Mollicutes; Acholeplasmatales; Acholeplasmataceae
Description: tRNA-Arg
Rfam family: tRNA
About the family: Transfer RNA (tRNA) molecules are approximately 80 nucleotides in length. Their secondary structure includes four short double-helical elements and three loops (D, anti-codon, and T loops). Further hydrogen bonds mediate the characteristic L-shaped molecular structure. tRNAs have two regions of fundamental functional importance: the anti-codon, which is responsible for specific mRNA codon recognition, and the 3' end, to which the tRNAs corresponding amino acid is attached (by aminoacyl-tRNA synthetases). tRNAs cope with the degeneracy of the genetic code in two manners: having more than one tRNA (with a specific anti-codon) for a particular amino acid; and 'wobble' base-pairing, i.e. permitting non-standard base-pairing at the 3rd anti-codon position.
Source: RNAcentral